GAAAUUGAGCUAGGGCUGAAUUGAGGGUGGUCCAGAGACUCAGAAGAUGGAACAAGGACCAUCAUUCAUCAAUAAUUGCGAUAAAUUAGCCAAAUCUUGUUCUGGAACUGAAAAAACAGCAAAGAAUUUGGAGAAUUGACAGGAUUUGACACUUCACCCCAAGUGCACUAGCUAGAUACACUGAUUUUCACUAUAAUUUGUCUUCCAUCAAUUAAAUAUGCUUAGUGUUGUAUGUCUUUUGUAAUGAGGAACCUAGUUGUUUGUCAUUGACAAUGCAUGCACAUGUGAGGAAUCAACAUGCAACCAUUCAAAUCUGGAGUCAGAUGUGAAAUGUCAGUUUAACACUUGGGAGCAGUGUGCCUAAUGGGAAAAGGCAUAUGGAGGUUGUUCCGGAGUGUAUUCAUUAAGGAUUCCUUUG
Long non-coding RNA from Pristis pectinata (smalltooth sawfish), 418 nucleotides. RefSeq lists it as uncharacterized. The transcript has 3 exons. Lineage: Eukaryota; Metazoa; Chordata; Chondrichthyes; Rhinopristiformes; Pristidae. The record is from RefSeq and is a predicted model, not a curated record.